UCCUUUCCAAUUUUAAUGGAUUGGGAGUUUAAUUUUAAUGCAUCGCUACUAUAAUUUCAAUGAUUUUCCGUUCUGAAAUCAUUGGAGGGUAUAUGAUCGAUGGCAGACUCGAAUCAGGUGGUCUCUGCCACACCCCGAUGAGGUUCACCUACUCUCUCCGGCUGAGACGACGUCUUUCAUGGCCGGGGAUGGAGCCACCAAUCACCAUUGAGGGUUAGGGAUCGAGGGCAGAGUUUGAAUGGUCCCAGGCGCACAAGAGGGAGAGGAGGGAUCAGAAAAGGGUAUCUGCAUCUCAUGCGGAUCAUAAGAUAGGUGAGCCUGUGAGGUUGUCAGGAAAUUACGAUGGUGAUGGUGAAACAGGGAGCGGAAGAAGCGAUUGAUGAUUUUGGGAAGAAAGAGAUUGUUUUUGCGUCGUUUUUGUCUUCCGCUCAGGGAACAAAAUUCUCAUCGUUAUCUUCAGUUCCGGUUCGAAUUGCGAGAGUGGAGAUGAGGAUAACGAGAUUGUUAAAGACAAGGGGCAAGAAAUCCUGAUUUUCGCCUGUGCUGUUGGUAAUUUAUAUGAACUCAUUCUUUAUUUGGAUUUCCCAUCUCUGUUUGUUCUUAAAUAAAUUGUUCUGAAUCCUUGAAGUUUCAACUUUUGAACAAAUUGGGUAUCAUUUGCUUCCAUCGUUUCAAUUGAUUAGGCCUUAGAAGGAAAUACAUCAUUAGAAAAUUGGUUGUUGGCUUUGUCAUCUAUUUUAUUCUUAUCAGAGUUUCCAUCAGACUCUUUCUUACCCCUUUGUUCCCCAUUUUCAGUUUUUGGAUGCAGAGUUGAUUUUUUUGUGGUCAUUUGAUUUUGUUUAUGUGGAGUUUCUGUUGUAGUUUUCCUCCUCAUUUAGGGAUAUUAAUGAUUUAUACGGGUGCUCUUAUUGGUAUUAUUGACUCAAUAUGUCUGUUACUAAUUCUGUUUAAUAUCUCCCUUGCUUCAAUCUUUCAAUUUGACUUCUGAGUCUAAUUUAUGAAUUGUGUGAGAAGCUAAGCAGUAGUUGUUCUUUUUCAUUUUGACCAAGUUCUAUGAAGCUCCUUAGAUGCAGCUCUUCAUAAUUUCUGGGUAACCUGCACAAGAGCUAAGCGAAACGCAUCUCUAAAAGUGAGAUCAAUUUCUUCCUGCUUUCAUUGGCAUUAUUGCAGCUUUGGUUGACAUUGCUAUCCUUUUCGAAGCAUAUACAUGGACCAUAGUCUUCAAGAUGAGGUAGUCAAUGGAAAAGAUGAUGGUAAUGGCCUAAUGGGUAUGGUUCUUAGCCACCACAGGUAUACGGUGUUUAGCCAUUAGAUGUUGAGUUUUUUGCUAUUUUUUGAAGACAUAUCAAAGUAAAUUUUUCGAUUUAUUAAUUUGCAUUUUUUUGUGAAAGUGUUUAUUUCAAUAUGAUUUUAAUUUUUCAACUAAUUAACCCUUAUUGAAAUUUUUUACUGUCAUAGGAAAUGUUCUGCAAAAUGUAGUAGUUGUAUAUUUCCCACUCAACUUCAUAAAUAUAUUCUUCUAUAGGUGUUUAGUUGGUGAAAAGAUAGCUUGAAGGGGAAGAAGAUUGGAGCAUGUUUUUAGCUGAAUAUAUAAUUGUAAAUAGAGGUGGAUGAUGGGUAGUUCCCUGAAGAUUCUGAUGCAGGAAAUGAUGUGAACAUGUUCUGAGGUUAUUGCCCAAGGGGCCAAACUUGGUGAUUUCUGAAUGAUGACGUUGCACUGGCUUUGCACUUCAUGGGAUGGUUCUCCACCAAGAAGAGGAGUGUAGAAUGGAAGGAAGGAUGCACAGGGCAAACCAUGGCCACUGUUUCUUUUUCACCAACUCUUCAUUUAUUCGUGGUUUUAGGCAUUGUCAUUAGCUUGUUGUGGCUCUCCCAUUACAAAAGCUACAAGUCUCAGAUGCAUAACUCUGCAAUCGAGUUUCAGUUAUUCCUCUUGUUGUCACCGAUCUUGUUGAUGCUCUUCUUGGUUGCAUAUUCCACCAGUGGAAAGCUCAACUUUCACUUCACAAAUUCAUAUCAUGAGUCAAUCCUACCAGUGAUUCCUUGGAAAGUAGUGAUCUUGCUGCUGUUGUUACUGCUAUCACUUUCUUAUCAAUCCUCAUUUCAUUCCAAGUGGUUUGGACCUCUCUAGACAUUAGAUUUCAUGUUUUGGAGAACUUAUUUAAGCUUAUCGUUUAAUAUAGUUGUUUGUGUAACUGUUUCAGUAAGCUCUACAUAUAAGAAAAAUUUAGUUUAUUUUCAUAACUGUUUUGAUUACCUUAUGAAUGGACACUUAUACGAAUAUGCUUACUUAUAAUU
Molecule: long non-coding RNA, 2298 nt
Organism: Lotus japonicus
Lineage: Eukaryota; Viridiplantae; Streptophyta; Magnoliopsida; Fabales; Fabaceae
Exons: 4
Source: RefSeq, a predicted model, not a curated record